Molecule: long non-coding RNA, 1243 nt
Filed under: Piliocolobus tephrosceles (Ugandan red Colobus)
Lineage: Eukaryota; Metazoa; Chordata; Mammalia; Primates; Cercopithecidae
Description: lncRNA (ENSPTEG00000018522.1)
Source: RNAcentral
UAUGAUUUAUUUUACAGAUACCAACAAUUGAUUCGUAUAAAAAAUAAAAUUGUCGUUAAAAAAAAAAUGACUGUUGCGCAAACAGAAAUAAAAAUGAAUAAACACAGAAACUUAAUAAACGAUUGCUAUGACUUGAAUAUAAAAAAAUACCUAGAAUUCGUUAUAAAUAAAGUGAUUGCUCAAAAGGUUGAUUACUUUUAUAUUGUAAGUAGUUAUAUAUAUAAAAUAAUAUACAAAAAGAACAGAAGAGUGUUGAGCGAUACACAUAAUAGUACAGGUGCAAGUGCGACUGCGAAUACAAAGGAACAACAUAACCAAUUUUAUAAAAACAAACGAGGUAAUAAUUAUACCAUCAUGCAAACCUUUUUCAAACCAUUACAUGUUGCUCAACAUUAUCUAUAUAGUAAUAACAACGAUUGUAAUGACAUUACUACUACGAAUAACGACUUGCUACUCUCCAAAGUGUUACAUUUUUUCGAACAAUUUUUGAAGUAUAACUUUAGCUAUAACUAUUUCAUUAAAUGUAACAGCUAUCAGAAUAAACAAAAAAAACAGAAACCAAUUAAGAACAAAAAAAUCAAUAAUGGUAUUAUAUUUUUCCUUAUGAACAGAUUUGUUACGAUGGUUGAAAAAACAAUUUUUAAAAUGUUAUUAAAUAAAAAUGUUGAAUUACUUAAUCAAACUUCCUUGGAUUAUUACAUUUUUAUAUACUUAAUUACUUUUCAAGAAAUAUCAAAUUUAAGAUAUAAAAAAAUACAUAGCAUAGUUCUUUUUUUGAGUGACAUGGUAAAAUGUUUAUAUCGUUGGAAAACUCUUAAUCAUAUUAACAUACGUUUAAUGAAUAUAUUACAAAAAAUAAAACUAGCAAUUCAAAACCAAGUGAUGAAUUCGAAAAAUAAUUAUUCAUUUUAUGAUGCGCAUUCUUUUGUACCUACUGAUGGUACUUAUUCUACAUGGUAUGACAACACCGAUUUGAGUAAACAUUCGAAAGUGGAACAAACAAAUUCUUUCUUAUUAUGUCGUUAUAAACAGGACAAAUUAGUUUUUACAGAUACACAUGUUAUUUCACAAUAUCAUAAUUCUGAUAAUAGUUUUUGUCAUACCCGUUAUAAUUAUUUAUAUGAUUAUUAUAAAUGGAUAAGCAACGUAUUUGAAGUUGUAAAUAACAUAUAUAUAAGCUACUGCUUAUACCAAAAAAACAGAAAUAGCUAUUCAUUUAUUUUAACUAAUACAUCAAAUAGUG